This is a long non-coding RNA of Apus apus (common swift), 1173 nucleotides long. RefSeq lists it as uncharacterized. The transcript is spliced from 3 exons. NCBI's taxonomy places the organism in Eukaryota, Metazoa, Chordata, Aves, Apodiformes, Apodidae. The record is from RefSeq and is a predicted model, not a curated record.
AGCACAGUAUUAUCCCAAAAACAUCCACCUCUGGUUCUCAUACGGGGUCCUCAUCCAAAAAACAUCUUGUAGAUACAUCUGUUGGAUAUAUAAGGAAUUCAGCAGCCUGUUCACAGCCUACUACAUGGAAAUUGUGAAACUGAUGACAAAGAAAACUUCUGAGCCUACUCAGAAAUGCGUAUUUAAGGACAAGACUCAACAGACAAGAAUCAAAGAUGGGGAGAUUCUGUGAAAGUUUGCUUUAGAAGAAUAGAAGAACAUUACGGAUCAGUCUGAAUUGCUGUCUCUCCCCAUCUCUCACACUCCGCUCACGCCAAGGAUGCAAGUUCCAACAGGCUAAAAUAGAUUAGUGUACAUUUUCAAUACUCUUCCUGCCUGAGCUACUGGUUGUCAUCUACCCAUAAUCUGUUUCAUAAAAACCAGAGGAAGAAGAACUCUUCUCCAGUGGAUCGCCAAAGACACUACAAAUGACACCUUGCACUGAGCUUAACACCCUGAAUAUGUUAACACUUGGUUGCAGUAUUAAAGAAAUCCAUAGUUCUUGAUGAACAAUGCAUAAAAUAGUAGGAAAAAAACCCUACCACUCUAAUUUUAAGUAUGAAAGAAAUAAAAAUAAUUUUAAACUUAAUUCUAAACAUCUGGAGUUUACAGAAAUAGUGCAGAUACUGGACAAGGGAUGCCUGAGUAGUCUUAACCUUAAAUAUCUUGAAGGCAGAGCAACUAAUAAUGAAGAAUUUGAAAGUAGAUUUUCCCCAUGGAAUUAUCCUUUUGCUAACUCUGCACAAAUUUCAGCCUGUGUGGCAGAGUUUCUCUGUUUAUAAAGUUAUCUCAGUCAGGUGACAAAACAUAUGAAAAAAGCAGGUUAAAAAAUAGAUCAGCUACAUGAGAACACUGAGUAUAGAUAUUAAUCUUCAAAGAUUUUUACUAAGAAAGGAUAAUCUUAAGAGUCUGAUAAAAACAGAUAUACUAAAAUCCUGGAUCUGUUGCAGUUGAGACACUUUUGCCAUUGACCAUCUCGAAACAACAAUUUCAACUAUGGCACCUAAACCCUUAUAUUCCACAAUCCAAAAUCCAAACAGAAUUACCAGAAUAAAUGCUUUCAAGUAAAUUCAGUUUUAAUCCUGCCAGUGUUUGAAUUUGACAUCUGGAAAAAAUCUUUUAGCUACGUAGAGA